Molecule: small nuclear RNA, 162 nt
Filed under: Brassica napus (rape)
Lineage: Eukaryota; Viridiplantae; Streptophyta; Magnoliopsida; Brassicales; Brassicaceae
Description: U1 spliceosomal RNA
Rfam family: U1 spliceosomal RNA
About the family: U1 is a small nuclear RNA (snRNA) component of the spliceosome (involved in pre-mRNA splicing). Its 5' end forms complementary base pairs with the 5' splice junction, thus defining the 5' donor site of an intron.
Source: Rfam by way of RNAcentral
GUACUUACCUGGACGGGGUCGACUCUUGAUCUUGAAGAAGAGUGGCCUAAGCUAGUGACUUCCAUUGCACAUAACGGAAGGUUACUUAGCUUAAGGUCUCCCCAAGUGGGAGAGCCUGCGUCAAUAUUUGUGGCUCGGAGGCCUGCGUUCGCGCGGCCUCUC